Molecule: long non-coding RNA, 364 nt
Filed under: Panax ginseng (ginseng)
Lineage: Eukaryota; Viridiplantae; Streptophyta; Magnoliopsida; Apiales; Araliaceae
Description: long non-coding RNA (PGIN_LNC019008)
Source: RNAcentral
UUGGGAUAGAAUGUACAGCUAAUUUGUAAAAGUAUGGUUGAAGAAUAGUAUUGUUAUGUGUUAGAUAGCUUAUGAUUUGUGUUUAAGUAAAGGUUACUCGACCUUGGGGAAUAGUGUGUAAUGUAAUGUAUAAACAAUUUAUGUUUAUAUCUUCCGCAAAUAGUUGUAGAAAUAGCGAACCGGAUCCGCGGCGAUUCGGGACCCGGAUUCGGGGCUGCCACAGUCUCCAUCUAUCAAUACUCCUGCUAGCAUAUACCCGGAAGAUAAUACUGCGAUAUGCAAUGGCUUGCAAUGACUGGUCCCUUCGGGAGGUAUAUCGUCAUCAGUGAAGGAUAUCACAUUGUUGUUGAAAAUGUGAUCAACC